This 2904-nucleotide ribosomal RNA is filed under the name Escherichia coli. RNAcentral describes it as "23S ribosomal RNA". It matches the Rfam family "Bacterial large subunit ribosomal RNA". The record is from RNAcentral. Lineage: Bacteria; Pseudomonadati; Pseudomonadota; Gammaproteobacteria; Enterobacterales; Enterobacteriaceae.
GGUUAAGCGACUAAGCGUACACGGUGGAUGCCCUGGCAGUCAGAGGCGAUGAAGGACGUGCUAAUCUGCGAUAAGCGUCGGUGAGGUGAUAUGAACCGUUAUAACCGGCGAUUUCCGAAUGGGGAAACCCAGUGUGUUUCGACACACUAUCAUUAACUGAAUCCAUAGGUUAAUGAGGCGAACCGGGGGAACUGAAACAUCUAAGUACCCCGAGGAAAAGAAAUCAACCGAGAUUCCCCCAGUAGCGGCGAGCGAACGGGGAGGAGCCCAGAGCCUGAAUCAGUGUGUGUGUUAGUGGAAGCGUCUGGAAAGGCGCGCGAUACAGGGUGACAGCCCCGUACACAAAAAUGCACAUACUGUGAGCUCGAUGAGUAGGGCGGGACACGUGGUAUCCUGUCUGAAUAUGGGGGGACCAUCCUCCAAGGCUAAAUACUCCUGACUGACCGAUAGUGAACCAGUACCGUGAGGGAAAGGCGAAAAGAACCCCGGCGAGGGGAGUGAAAAAGAACCUGAAACCGUGUACGUACAAGCAGUGGGAGCCUCUUAAUGGGGUGACUGCGUACCUUUUGUAUAAUGGGUCAGCGACUUAUAUUCUGUAGCAAGGUUAACCGAAUAGGGGAGCCGAAGGGAAACCGAGUCUUAACUGGGCGUUAAGUUGCAGGGUAUAGACCCGAAACCCGGUGAUCUAGCCAUGGGCAGGUUGAAGGUUGGGUAACACUAACUGGAGGACCGAACCGACUAAUGUUGAAAAAUUAGCGGAUGACUUGUGGCUGGGGGUGAAAGGCCAAUCAAACCGGGAGAUAGCUGGUUCUCCCCGAAAGCUAUUUAGGUAGCGCCUCGUGAAUUCAUCUCCGGGGGUAGAGCACUGUUUCGGCAAGGGGGUCAUCCCGACUUACCAACCCGAUGCAAACUGCGAAUACCGGAGAAUGUUAUCACGGGAGACACACGGCGGGUGCUAACGUCCGUCGUGAAGAGGGAAACAACCCAGACCGCCAGCUAAGGUCCCAAAGUCAUGGUUAAGUGGGAAACGAUGUGGGAAGGCCCAGACAGCCAGGAUGUUGGCUUAGAAGCAGCCAUCAUUUAAAGAAAGCGUAAUAGCUCACUGGUCGAGUCGGCCUGCGCGGAAGAUGUAACGGGGCUAAACCAUGCACCGAAGCUGCGGCAGCGACACUAUGUGUUGUUGGGUAGGGGAGCGUUCUGUAAGCCUGUGAAGGUGUGCUGUGAGGCAUGCUGGAGGUAUCAGAAGUGCGAAUGCUGACAUAAGUAACGAUAAAGCGGGUGAAAAGCCCGCUCGCCGGAAGACCAAGGGUUCCUGUCCAACGUUAAUCGGGGCAGGGUGAGUCGACCCCUAAGGCGAGGCCGAAAGGCGUAGUCGAUGGGAAACAGGUUAAUAUUCCUGUACUUGGUGUUACUGCGAAGGGGGGACGGAGAAGGCUAUGUUGGCCGGGCGACGGUUGUCCCGGUUUAAGCGUGUAGGCUGGUUUUCCAGGCAAAUCCGGAAAACCAAGGCUGAGGCGUGAUGACGAGGCACUACGGUGCUGAAGCGACAAAUGCCCUGCUUCCAGGAAAAGCCUCUAAGCAUCAGGUAACAUUAAAUCGUACCCCAAACCGACACAGGUGGUCAGGUAGAGAAUACCAAGGCGCUUGAGAGAACUCGGGUGAAGGAACUAGGCAAAAUGGUGCCGUAACUUCGGGAGAAGGCACGCUGAUAUGUAGGUGAAGCGACUUGCUCGUGGAGCUGAAAUCAGUCGAAGAUACCAGCUGGCUGCAACUGUUUAUUAAAAACACAGCACUGUGCAAACACGAAAGUGGACGUAUACGGUGUGACGCCUGCCCGGUGCCGGAAGGUUAAUUGAUGGGGUUAGCGGUAACGCGAAGCUCUUGAUCGAAGCCCCGGUAAACGGCGGCCGUAACUAUAACGGUCCUAAGGUAGCGAAAUUCCUUGUCGGGUAAGUUCCGACCUGCACGAAUGGCGUAAUGAUGGCCAGGCUGUCUCCACCCGAGACUCAGUGAAAUUGAACUCGCUGUGAAGAUGCAGUGUACCCGCGGCAAGACGGAAAGACCCCGUGAACCUUUACUAUAGCUUGACACUGAACAUUGAGCCUUGAUGUGUAGGAUAGGUGGGAGGCUUUGAAGUGUGGACGCCAGUCUGCAUGGAGCCGACCUUGAAAUACCACCCUUUAAUGUUUGAUGUUCUAACGUUGGCCCGUAAUCCGGGUUGCGGACAGUGUCUGGUGGGUAGUUUGACUGGGGCGGUCUCCUCCUAAAGAGUAACGGAGGAGCACGAAGGUUGGCUAAUCCUGGUCGGACAUCAGGAGGUUAGUGCAAUGGCAUAAGCCAGCUUGACUGCGAGCGUGACGGCGCGAGCAGGUGCGAAAGCAGGUCAUAGUGAUCCGGUGGUUCUGAAUGGAAGGGCCAUCGCUCAACGGAUAAAAGGUACUCCGGGGAUAACAGGCUGAUACCGCCCAAGAGUUCAUAUCGACGGCGGUGUUUGGCACCUCGAUGUCGGCUCAUCACAUCCUGGGGCUGAAGUAGGUCCCAAGGGUAUGGCUGUUCGCCAUUUAAAGUGGUACGCGAGCUGGGUUUAGAACGUCGUGAGACAGUUCGGUCCCUAUCUGCCGUGGGCGCUGGAGAACUGAGGGGGGCUGCUCCUAGUACGAGAGGACCGGAGUGGACGCAUCACUGGUGUUCGGGUUGUCAUGCCAAUGGCACUGCCCGGUAGCUAAAUGCGGAAGAGAUAAGUGCUGAAAGCAUCUAAGCACGAAACUUGCCCCGAGAUGAGUUCUCCCUGACUCCUUGAGGGUCCUGAAGGAACGUUGAAGACGACGACGUUGAUAGGCCGGGUGUGUAAGCGCAGCGAUGCGUUGAGCUAACCGGUACUAAUGAACCGUGAGGCUUAACCUU